RNAcentral lists this ribosomal RNA (1160 nucleotides) under Nesterenkonia sp. C3-20. RNAcentral describes it as "bacterial SSU rRNA". It matches the Rfam family "Bacterial small subunit ribosomal RNA", at positions 65 to 1232 of the family's 1533-position model. Lineage: Bacteria; Bacillati; Actinomycetota; Actinomycetes; Micrococcales; Micrococcaceae. The record is from RNAcentral.
GAUGAUGCCGGGUGCUUGCACCUGGCGGAUUAGUGGCGAACGGGUGAGUAUCACGUGAGUAACCUGCCCUUGACUCUGGGAUAAGCCUGGGAAACUGGGUCUAAUACCGGAUAUGACCAGUCCUCGCAUGGGGUGCUGGUGGAAAGAUUUUAUCGGUCUUGGAUGGACUCGCGGCCUAUCAGUUUGUUGGUGAGGUAAUGGCUCACCAAGGCGAUGACGGGUAGCCGGCCUGAGAGGGUGACCGGCCACACUGGGACUGAGACACGGCCCAGACUCCUACGGGAGGCAGCAGUGGGGAAUAUUGCACAAUGGGCGCAAGCCUGAUGCAGCGACGCCGCGUGCGGGAUGACGGCCUUUCGGGUUGUAAACCGCUUUCAGCAGGGAAGAAGCUUUUUGUGACGGUACCUGCAGAAGAAGCGCCGGCUAACUACGUGCCAGCAGCCGCGGUAAUACGUAGGGCGCGAGCGUUAUCCGGAAUUAUUGGGCGUAAAGGGCUCGCAGGCGGUUUGCCACGUCUGCUGUGAAAGCCCGGGGCUUAACUCCGGGUGUGCAGUGGGUACGGGUAGACUAGAGUGCAGUAGGGGAGACUGGAAUUCCUGGUGUAGCGGUGAAAUGCGCAGAUAUCAGGAAGAACACCGAUGGCGAAGGCAGGUCUCUGGGCUGUUACUGACGCUGAGGAGCGAAAGCAUGGGGAGCGAACAGGAUUAGAUACCCUGGUAGUCCAUGCCGUAAACGUUGGGCACUAGGUGUGGGGAACAUUCCACGUUUUCCGCGCCGUAGCUAACGCAUUAAGUGCCCCGCCUGGGGAGUACGGCCGCAAGGCUAAAACUCAAAGGAAUUGACGGGGGCCCGCACAAGCGGCGGAGCAUGCGGAUUAAUUCGAUGCAACGCGAAGAACCUUACCAAGGCUUGACAUGGACCGGAUCGCUGCAGAGAUGUAGUUUCCCUUCGGGGCUGGUUCACAGGUGGUGCAUGGUUGUCGUCAGCUCGUGUCGUGAGAUGUUGGGUUAAGUCCCGCAACGAGCGCAACCCUUGUCCUAUGUUGCCAGCACGUAGUGGUGGGGACUCAUGGGAGACUGCCGGGGUCAACUCGGAGGAAGGUGGGGAUGACGUCAAAUCAUCAUGCCCCUUAUGUCUUGGGCUUCACGCAUGCUACAAUG